This is a long non-coding RNA of Acanthopagrus latus (yellowfin seabream), 413 nucleotides long. RefSeq lists it as uncharacterized. The record is from RefSeq and is a predicted model, not a curated record. The transcript is spliced from 3 exons. NCBI's taxonomy places the organism in Eukaryota, Metazoa, Chordata, Actinopteri, Spariformes, Sparidae.
UGGCGGUGGCUGUCAUGCAAGGUGCCGACCAGCACAACAAGAGCAGUUUGAGUUUCAGUGUCUUGCCCAAGGACACCUCGGCAUGCAGACCAGGCGACUCAAACCAGUGACUUUCUGAUAAAAAGACGCUGAAUCUACCCCUGAGCCACAGCCACCCUAAAAAUAUAAUACCAACUUACAAGAGAAGGGUUGAACACCAAGUGCUAAUCAGACAGUGGGGAAGGAAGUCAGUGAACAACUCAGGCGACAGAAGUUACAUACUGCGUAUUUGAUAAGAGAUUUCCUCACAGCCAGGCAGUGUGAACAGGAAGAACCAUUACGGCCAACGAGAGUCUGCACAAGGGCCUGUGACUGAUGUUUUAGGACAGACUGCACCUUCUGCACUUUUGUCCCUCCGCAGGUCAGAUUCACGG